This is a transfer RNA of Ovis aries (sheep), 72 nucleotides long. It matches the Rfam family "tRNA". From Rfam's summary of the family: Transfer RNA (tRNA) molecules are approximately 80 nucleotides in length. Their secondary structure includes four short double-helical elements and three loops (D, anti-codon, and T loops). The record is from Rfam. NCBI's taxonomy places the organism in Eukaryota, Metazoa, Chordata, Mammalia, Artiodactyla, Bovidae.
UCCCUGGUAGCUGAGACGGGAAAGCAUCUGUCUACAAUGCAGGAGACCAGGGUUCAGUCCCUGGUUUGGGAA